Molecule: ribosomal RNA, 253 nt
Filed under: uncultured bacterium
Lineage: Bacteria
Description: partial 16S ribosomal RNA
Rfam family: Bacterial small subunit ribosomal RNA
Source: RNAcentral
UACGAAGGGGGCUAGCGUUGCUCGGAAUCACUGGGCGUAAAGCGCACGUAGGCGGCUUUCUAAGUCAGACGUGAAAUCCCUCGGCUUAACCGGGGAACUGCGUCUGAUACUGGAUGGCUCGAGUUUGGGAGAGGGAUGCGGAAUUCCAGGUGUAGCGGUGAAAUGCGUAGAUAUCUGGAGGAACACCGGUGGCGAAGGCGGCAUCCUGGACCAAUACUGACGCUGAAUAGCGAAAGCCAGGGGAGCAAACGGG